GGUGAAAGGCCAAUCAAACUCGGAGAUAGCUGGUUCUCUGCGAAAUCUAUUUAGGUAGAGCGUUGGACGAAUACUCCCGGGGGUAGAGCACUGGAUGGGUAAUGGGGACUCACCGUCUUACUGAUCCUAACCAAACUCCGAAUACCGGGAAGUACUAUCCAGCAGACAGACGGCGGGUGCUAACGUCCGUCGUCAAGAGGGAAACAACCCUGACCACCAAUUAAGGUCCCCAAGUCAUGGCUAAGUGGGAAAGGAAGUGAGACUCCCAAAACAACCAGGAUGUUGGCUUAGAAGCAGC
This 298-nucleotide ribosomal RNA is filed under the name Stygamoeba regulata. RNAcentral's name for it is "partial Bacterial large subunit ribosomal RNA". It matches the Rfam family "Bacterial large subunit ribosomal RNA", at positions 819 to 1116 of the family's 2925-position model. Lineage: Eukaryota; Discosea; Stygamoebida. The record is from RNAcentral.